CAGCAGCCGCGGUAAUACGUAGGUGGCAAGCGUUGUCCGGAAUUGUUGGGCGUAAAGGGCUCGCAAGCGGUUUCUUAAGUCUGAUGUGAAAGCCCCCGGCUCAACCGGGGAGGGUCAUAGGAAACUGGGAAACUUGAGUGCAGAAGAGGAGAGUGGAAUUCCGCGUGUAGCGGUGAAAUGCGUAGAGAUGUGGAGGAACACCAGUGGCGAAGGCGACUCUCUGGUCUGUAACUGACGCUGAGGAGCGAAAGCGUGGGGAGCGAACAGGAUUAGAUACCCCCGUAGUCCCUGUCUCUUAUAC
Molecule: ribosomal RNA, 301 nt
Filed under: uncultured bacterium
Lineage: Bacteria
Description: partial 16S ribosomal RNA
Rfam family: Bacterial small subunit ribosomal RNA
Source: RNAcentral